Molecule: long non-coding RNA, 2247 nt
Organism: Zea mays
Lineage: Eukaryota; Viridiplantae; Streptophyta; Magnoliopsida; Poales; Poaceae
Exons: 5
Source: RefSeq, a predicted model, not a curated record
GAAAGGUUUUCACAUUGCAACUCAAACAUGGACGCGGGCCAGGUUAGUACUUAAUCUUCAAUAAUAUAUAAUAAUGGUACAGGGGCGCCGCGCGAUCGGGAUCGCCUCAGCAAGAAGCAGCAGAAGAAGGAUGCCAGGAAGGCGGAGAAGGCUGAGACGGUGGCGCAGCCCCAGCAACAGCAUCUGUUCAACACCGAAGACCUAUUCGCGGCCAACUAUGGUGAUGUCACCGUCGAGGUGAUUUAGUUAAAGGCCAUCUCCGACCGCUUGUGGUCCCAAAUCGGUGACCUCGACGAGUCCGCUGCGGGCUGCAAGGUGCUUAUCCGUGGAGCCUCUAUUCAACCUUGCAUCCCAUGCUAACUGCUAACAUGUUUCAAAAUUACUUAUGCAAACAAGUUGUUGUUAUCUUGUAUGACUUAUUCUAUGACUACCUAUUGCUCUUGCAUAUGUGUCUAUAAGUUGAUCCUUUGAUGACUUAUUUAUGUCUACUAAUUGAAAUUUAUAAACUUAUAUGUUAGUACUUCACGUGAGAGUUCCAAGUUCCACAAAGCUGUAUAUUCCCAUUAUAGACAUGUUAUGAAUUCAGCAUGAUCACGAGCCCAACAUCAUAAUGAGAUUAUUUGAACAUUUUUCAGGUUUUAUUUUCCUUACUUUAUUCUCAUAUGUGAUGCUUUGUUCAUUGCAAGCUAAAUCAUAAUCCAACAGGGCAACAAGAUAGCCUGCUCACUGUCUGGUAAGUGUAAGAUAUCUCAAUCUAAUUUGUGUAAAAUUAGGUUGUACUAUAGAAAGAUAAUAUUGCAACAAAAAAGCCUAAUGAAGUUUUAUAUUUUGUUUCGUGACGUAGAUAGUACAAUAGGAUGUUCAGAUGGGCCAUUUUUCAUAUAUAAAAAAGGCACAUGUUAAAUUGGCCGCAUACAAAUUGUAAUUGAGGGCACAUUUUGAUUACUGAUAGUUCUUUCUUUUCCUUCUUUUUUACUUGAGGUUACGAAGGGUGCAGGGUGUUCUGCAUGAUAGUAUGUAUUUGCUCAUUAUUAUCAAUUCCUUUAUAUUGUGAAAAUAUGAAAGAACAUGGAACCUGAAAUUGUUGUCUGGUGGCUGAUUUUCAUUUUCGAAGGCUGGUACAUAGCUCUGUUUUGACUCCAUACACCAAGGUAUUUAGACAUCCGGGUCCUCCCUUGAAUCCUUACUAUCAUGGUUAUCUUGUGUCGUCUCUAGAUCAAACUGAAUUGUGUCUAAUGCGUAGAAUCAAGGCAGCCAUCAUCCGUGGGAGUAAGACUCUAGCCACAUAAUUGCUUUAAUGAUCUAGCUUGCUACAUAAGAUCGUGAUUGUCAAGUCAAUGAAUAAUAAUAAAGUUUAUCUUGCUUUUAUAUUUAUAAGAUCAAACGCCACAAAUGAUUUGCUUUCCGAAACAGCGGCUGCAAUAUCUCAUCCCCUGACUCAUGGCAUCAUUGUAGGUUCCUUCGACGCAGACUGCACAAUCAUAGGUAUUCAUCCCUCCUCGAACAACCUACCUGCACCACAUGACUCUGAGAGAAUUUCUAACCAAGGUAGUGCAGCAGCACCAGGUGUGUAAUUUUCAAAUCACACAAAUGUUCUUGUCACACGAGUAGAAGUGUCAAUCCUAAAAACGAGAAUACAACCAAAUGAUGAAGCUCAACAGGAAGUGCAGACUCGGUCUAUUCCUGAUCCAAGGGAGGUUGCAGGAUGUCUGUUGCAUAUGUUGCUCCAACAAAGUCGUCCUAUGCUAUGUCUCAUCCUUUGGCAUAUCAUCAUGAGGAUGUGAAUUCCACAGGAAGGCCCAUGUGAUCCUAUUGCUCCCUUAGAUCUUCCACAUUUUUUACAGUCUUUCCACCGUGUAUCAGCUUGUGACUCAAUAUGGAAGGAUACCAGUAUACCACACAUUCUGUGGAGGAUUCUGGAAUUAUUUUAGCUUGGAUUUGCAAAAGAUCAAGUUGAGGAAGUGCCUAGCAUCAGAGUCGAUGGAAGGUGAAUAAAAAUUUAGCCAUUGAGAGGAUCCAGAUAUUUCAAUACUUGACAGUGAAUAGAGAGCAGUAAACAAGAUUUAAUGGGCACUCCUUUGAUGUACCCUUUAUCAUCUUUUGAGUUCUGACAGUGUAGAGUAGAGAUGCCUGGUGAUUGCCUCUUUGUAGAUACUCUUCCUAUUGCAUGUGUAUAAACUUCAGAGAUACUAGAUUUGGGUUUAGUCAUUUCAUGUAUUUAGUUCAUUUAUUAAGUUUCAUGAUUUA